AAUGCCAUUUUUUUACAUGUAUGCAAGGAGCAGUUGCUAGAAUAUUAUAGUUGGUAAUUGGUAUAUAAACAUCAGUUCCCAUUGUUUACCAUAUAUCUUUUCUAAACGUCAUUUCUAUUUAUUGUGAGGGAUUUGUUAUAGAAAUCAUCCUCUCAGGCGGGAUUUCGGUGCCAAAGGUCAUAUCGGCCGUGGAGGGGGCCGUCAGCCUCGGCGACCAUGGCUCAUUGGGUUCUUUCCAUUUGCUGCCAAGCUUUAGUAGGGUACAGGGUACUGUUUACUACCCUGGCUUUUCUUGUCCUAGCAGAAGCACAAAACUAAUCAGGACCAACCACUGCAAAAUGUGAUUGACAUAGAUCUCACACAUCUAUUCAACAUUGCACAAACAUUGGUGCCUUUUUCAUUCCUUGUGCUAAGACAAUAUUUUUAGCUCAUUCGGGGUACUGUACAAUCCAGAGUUUCUUUUUCGAUGCCAUACCAAUCGUUUCUCUCUGCUUGCUGAGACUUGAAGAAAACUUUGGUGCGUUGUCUCUUUUCGUUUCUGUCAGAUUCAUUGCUGCCUUCCAGCAAUCUAGCUCUUUACCCUUUACAGUAUUUCCUUUCCAUUUGAUAAAUAUAUACUUUUUUAGGCUUGAAAUCUUCUUUCUCUGUUCUGAGGACUGCUACAAACUUGUAACAGAUGGAUUAAUCGCUUCUUUUCUUAUUUUUUAGGGCAUGAUGAAAUCAGUGUUUGCUAUUUAGCCUCCUUCACAACUAAGAUCAUCCUACAUAAUAGAUUUAGACAACAAAAACUUAUGGAGUUUACUGAAAUGCCCUUUCAGGCAUGCCCCAUCUGUGCUACAAGGGUCGGAAUGGACUUGAUAGGACAUUUGAUUAUGCAACAUGGAAGUUAUUUCAAGAUAUCCUUUUUUAACUAUGUUGUCGUUGCUGAUCAUUUGCAUUUUUACAUUUUUCACAUUAUACUACAGUUGAAGAUACAUAGGUGUCAUGGUCGGGUGCACGUCACGGGCCCGGCGGCGCCUGGAGUACGUGCGCCCGACCAUGACCGCGACCAUGACAAUAGGUAUGUUGGAACACAGAAUUUACAGAUUGUUUUCCUUAAUGAAUAAUACAUGCAACGCAGGCGCAGAGUCCGAAAAGUAUCUUCUAGGUCCCAUUCUUUAUUAUCUUUGUUGAGAAAGGACUUGAGAAAUGGCAGUUUGCAGUCAUUUCUCGGUGGAUCAUCCUAUGUAUCCAAUCCUCCUGCUGCAGCACCAAAUUCUAUUAGUAUCUGUCUGCUGGAACUCUCGGUCUAAAAGGUGCUUUUAGCAAGGUUGCCAAGGUCGGUCAUGUUGCUGGCUCAAGAACCAGAGAAAAGUUACAAUUGGUUGUAUCAGAUCUAGCAGCCAAAGUGAAUCGUCAAGCGAUUUUGUUUCAAGUAAAAAGGCAAACUUGUUUUGCGUGCAGCUAGAACUCGUGAUGUUGGUGCAUCCUGCUGAUUGCAAAAGCAUGUUAGAUGCUUUCAUAGCUGGUUGUGAUUUCCAUUCCAGGACAACCAUGAGCAUGUAUCAGCAUAUUCGUGAGACUGUUGAAGAAGAGAAAGUAAUUCUUGAGUAGCAUCCUCAACCCGAUCAAGAGAAAUCUCCCAUGUUGUUGUUGAAGGAUGCUUUUGGUGCUGAGAGGAGGAAAGCUAUAAGAUGCUAAAUCUCUCCAUUGCAUACGGAAAAACGUAGGAAGGUACAAACUUGUCAAACAAACAUAGCUCUAAAUUAAGCAGCAAUCAACCUUAGUGUUCAUUACACUUAAAUAUGAGCUUUGGCCUUUGGAUUGGUUUGUGCUGGUCAGCUAGAAACCUGAAAACAACAAACUUGUUGAGUAGCGAUGUUUACAAGAAAUGUAGCCUUCAUGGGCUCUUGUAACCCUUUCUCUCUUGUCAGAUUUUUGUUAAGGAAGCAAAA
Zea mays is the source of this 1934-nucleotide long non-coding RNA. RefSeq lists it as uncharacterized. The record is from RefSeq and is a predicted model, not a curated record. The transcript is spliced from 3 exons. NCBI's taxonomy places the organism in Eukaryota, Viridiplantae, Streptophyta, Magnoliopsida, Poales, Poaceae.